CAAAUGGAGAAUUUGUUUCUUUGGCCAGAAAGUUUGCUCUGAUUCACCACACGUUUUCUCAAAAUACUGAACCAUGGUUUUGCAUGGACACCAGUGAAUCAGAAGAGAUGUUCAGUCAAACAACUGAUGCCGUCUGGUGUACCCUAACCGUGCACGCCAGAGCUUCUUCUCAGGGUAAGUGGAUUUAAGUGCUGCCGGUCUGACUCCAUCCUCUGGACCACUGAUAAGUAAGGCCAGCAGACUGGCUAAUUUGGUGCUAAAGAAACCCAGACC
Molecule: long non-coding RNA, 273 nt
Organism: Symphalangus syndactylus (siamang)
Lineage: Eukaryota; Metazoa; Chordata; Mammalia; Primates; Hylobatidae
Source: RefSeq, a predicted model, not a curated record